This 400-nucleotide unclassified non-coding RNA is filed under the name uncultured fungus. RNAcentral's name for it is "sequence contains ITS1". The record is from RNAcentral. Lineage: Eukaryota; Fungi.
CAGAAGUAAUUGCUGUCCACGCUCAGGACGGUUUUUAGCUGUUUUUUAGUACGCUCAUCGACGUCAGCGAGUAGCGGCUGUGCAAGAAACUGAUCGACAUCUUCCCAGCCCUUCGCCGGACGUUGUUGUAAUAACACCCGCGCCUGAACAGGGCUUAACCACGGGUCAAACAGCGCCUCAAGAAUCACACUUUGCGUGACGUCUAAGGUAUUGAUGUUGAUUUGCUGGCGGGUCAUCGGCAGCGCACAGACCAGCGGUUUCAGUUUUUGAUAAAGCCCGGCGUCCAUUCCCUGUACCACGCGCAUCUCACUGAUAUCGGCCAGCGGUUGAUUGGCGGCGUAGAACGGCACCGAGCGGGCGAGAUACUCGCUGUCUUCACGCCCCAGACGCGUCUGCACGC